This 503-nucleotide ribosomal RNA is filed under the name uncultured Glomus. RNAcentral's name for it is "SSU rRNA". It matches the Rfam family "Eukaryotic small subunit ribosomal RNA", at positions 569 to 1074 of the family's 1831-position model. The record is from RNAcentral. Lineage: Eukaryota; Fungi; Glomeromycota; Glomeromycetes; Glomerales; Glomeraceae.
AACAGCCGCGGUAAUUCCAGCUCCAAUAGCGUAUAUUAAAGUUGUUGCAGUUAAAAAGCUCGUAGUUGAAUUUCGGGGUCAGUAGGUUGGUCAUGCCACUGGUAUGUACUGGUCUCACUGAUUCCUCCUUCCUGAUGAACUGUAAUGCCAUUAAUUUGGUGUUGCAGGGAAUCUGGACUGUUACUUUGAAAAAAUUAGAGUGUUUAAAGCAGGCUAACGCCUGAAUACAUUAGCAUGGAAUAAUGAAAUAGGACGUUCGAUCCUAUUUUGUUGGUUUCUAGGAUUGACGUAAUGAUUAAUAGGGAUAGUUGGGGGCAUUAGUAUUCAAUUGUCAGAGGUGAAAUUCUUGGAUUUAUUGAAGACUAACUACUGCGAAAGCAUUUGCCAAGGAUGUUUUCAUUAAUCAAGAACGAAAGUUAGGGGAUCGAAGACGAUCAGAUACCGUCGUAGUCUUAACCAUAAACUAUGCCGACUAGGGAUCGGAUGAUGUUAAUUUUUAAUGA